RNAcentral lists this ribosomal RNA (322 nucleotides) under uncultured eukaryote. Its description in RNAcentral is "partial 18S ribosomal RNA". It matches the Rfam family "Eukaryotic small subunit ribosomal RNA", at positions 1470 to 1796 of the family's 1831-position model. The record is from RNAcentral.
CCCUUAGAUGUUCUGGGCCGCACGCGUGCUACACUGAGUAAAUCAAUGGGUAAGGGAACACGAAAGUGCAACCUAAUCUUGAAAUUUGCUCGUGAUGGGGAUCGACGGUUGCAAUUUUCCGUCGUGAACGAGGAAUACCUUGUAGGCGCGUGUCAUCAUCACGCGCCGAAUACGUCCCUGCCCUUUGUACACACCGCCCGUCGCUCCUACCGAUUGAGUGAUCCGGUGAGGCUCUGGGACCUGGACGGAAAGAGCGUUUCGCUUGUUCUGUUUGGGAAACUUGGUCAAACCUUAUCAUUUAGAGGAAGGAGAAGUCGUAACA